Molecule: transfer RNA, 73 nt
Organism: Myotis lucifugus (little brown bat)
Lineage: Eukaryota; Metazoa; Chordata; Mammalia; Chiroptera; Vespertilionidae
Rfam family: tRNA
About the family: Transfer RNA (tRNA) molecules are approximately 80 nucleotides in length.
Source: Rfam
GCCAGUUUGGCUCAGUGGAUAGAGUGUUGGUCUGUGGACCGAAGGGUUCUAGGUUCGAUUCCAGUUAAGGGCA